GGUUCAGGUUUCUUUAUUGGUACCCGUGGGUAAACUAGGUUUACAGUCUAAGAGGCAGAACAUCCUUAAAACUUUGUAGACCACCACAUAACAUGGAACACACCAAACAUUAAAUCAUUCUGGUAUAAAAAAGACAGA
Molecule: long non-coding RNA, 138 nt
Organism: Etheostoma spectabile (orangethroat darter)
Lineage: Eukaryota; Metazoa; Chordata; Actinopteri; Perciformes; Percidae
Exons: 3
Source: RefSeq, a predicted model, not a curated record